GCAAAGCUAUGGAGACAUAGUGGAGGUUAUCAGGGAGACAGGUGGUGCAUGGUUGUCGUCAGCUCGUGUCGUGAGAUGUUGGUUAAGUCCGCAACGAGCGCAACCCUUAUUGCUAGUUACCAUCAUUGAUUGGGGACUCUAGCGAGACUGCCAGUGAUAAACUGGAGGAAGGUGGGGAUGACGUCAAAUCAUCAUGCCCCUUAUGACCUGGGCUACAAACGUGAUACAAUGGCUGAAACAAAGGGCAGCGAAGCAGUGAUGUGGAGCGAAACCCAAAAAAGCAGUCUCAGUUCGGAUUGAAGUCUGCAACUCGACUUCAUGAAGUCGGAAUCGCUAGUAAUCGCGGAUCAGAACGCCGCGGUGAAUACGUUCUCGGGGUUU
This 381-nucleotide ribosomal RNA is filed under the name uncultured Acholeplasma sp. Its description in RNAcentral is "bacterial SSU rRNA". It matches the Rfam family "Bacterial small subunit ribosomal RNA", at positions 993 to 1382 of the family's 1533-position model. The record is from RNAcentral. Lineage: Bacteria; Bacillati; Mycoplasmatota; Mollicutes; Acholeplasmatales; Acholeplasmataceae.